GUGAGGGAUGACGGCCUUCGGGUUGUAAACCUCUUUCAGCAGGGAAGAAGCGAAAGUGACGGUACCUGCAGAAGAAGCGCCGGCUAACUACGUGCCAGCAGCCGCGGUAAUACGUAGGGCGCAAGCGUUGUCCGGAAUUAUUGGGCGUAAAGAGCUCGUAGGCGGUCUGUCGCGUCUGGUGUGAAAUCCCAUGGCUCAACUGUGGGCUUGCAUCGGGUACGGGCAGACUAGAGUGCUGUAGGGGAGACUGGAAUUCCUGGUGUAGCGGUGGAAUGCGCAGAUAUCAGGAGGAACACCGAUGGCGAAGGCAGGUCUCUGGGCAGUUACUGACGCUGAGGAGCGAAAGCAUGGGGAGCGAACAGGAUUAGAUACCCUGGUA
Molecule: ribosomal RNA, 379 nt
Filed under: Promicromonospora sp. 3.1- VPr
Lineage: Bacteria; Bacillati; Actinomycetota; Actinomycetes; Micrococcales; Promicromonosporaceae
Description: bacterial SSU rRNA
Rfam family: Bacterial small subunit ribosomal RNA
Source: RNAcentral